AUGGGAAAUUUACUUAAGUAUGUGGGAGUAUUUACUUUGAUGUUUGCAUUGAUGAUAGGAGCAUUUGAAUGCAAAAAGAUACAAGAAAAUGAAUCGGUUUUCGAUUUUGGUGGCCGCAAAUUUGGAAAUGCGUGUGGAGCAAUUGGACCAUUUGGUGGUUGUCAUCACCCGUUCGUACCACCAAAAUUCUCACCACCAAAAUUCUUAAGAUUAUUUAGCCAUACUUGA
RNAcentral lists this long non-coding RNA (228 nucleotides) under Vicia faba (fava bean). The record is from RNAcentral. Lineage: Eukaryota; Viridiplantae; Streptophyta; Magnoliopsida; Fabales; Fabaceae.